This 497-nucleotide ribosomal RNA is filed under the name uncultured bacterium. Its description in RNAcentral is "partial 16S ribosomal RNA". It matches the Rfam family "Bacterial small subunit ribosomal RNA", at positions 28 to 507 of the family's 1533-position model. The record is from RNAcentral.
GAUGAACGCUGGCGGCGUGCCUAAUACAUGCAAGUCGAGCGAACAGAUGAGGAGCUUGCUCCUCUGACUUUAGCGGCGGACGGGUGAGUAACACGUGGAUAACCUACCUAUAAGACUGGGAUAACUUCGGGAAACCGGAGCUAAUACCGGAUAAUAUAUUGAACCGCAUGGUUCAAUAGUGAAAUACGGUUUUUCUGUCACUUAUAGAUGGAUCCGCGCCGCAUUAGCUAGUUGGUAAGGUAACGGCUUACCAAGGCAACGAUGCGUAGCCGACCUGAGAGGGUGAUCGGCCAAACGGGAACUGAGACACGGUCCAGACUCCUACGGGAGGAAGCAGUAGGGAAUCUUCCGCAAUGGGCGAAAGCCUGACGGAGCAACGCCGCGUGAGUGAUGAAGGUCUUCGGAUCGUAAAACUAUGUUAUUAGGGAAGAAAAAAUGUGUAAGUAACUAUGCACGUAUUGACGGUACCUAAUCAGAAAGCCACGGCUAACUACGUG